Molecule: small nuclear RNA, 192 nt
Organism: Phyllostomus discolor (pale spear-nosed bat)
Lineage: Eukaryota; Metazoa; Chordata; Mammalia; Chiroptera; Phyllostomidae
Product: U2 spliceosomal RNA
Exons: 1
Source: RefSeq, a predicted model, not a curated record
AUCUCUUCUUGGCCUUUUGGUGAAGACCGAGGAUAGUAUGUAUUUGUAUUAGUGUAUUAUCUGAUACACCCUGUACUCAAGGACAUUAUACUAAAUGGAUUUUUGGAUCCGGGAGACAGAAUUAGGGGCUUGCUCAGUCCACUCUGCGCACCGAGCGGGUAUUGCAGUACCUCCAGGAACAGUGCAAGAGAA